Non-coding RNA from Paramuricea clavata, 468 nucleotides. Lineage: Eukaryota; Metazoa; Cnidaria; Anthozoa; Malacalcyonacea; Plexauridae. The record is from the annotation of a GenBank genome assembly.
UUACUAUCAUUCAUAGUAUUUGAAGGAGUUUGUUUUGGCCUUCGCCGUCCUAAAAUCGUAAGGUCUCUAGUAAUUUACGAUGCGAACCUCUUGCUAUGACGAAGAGCAACAACCUUGAACUGUUAGCUAUUCAGAUAAACACAAACAGCUGUGGAAAAGUUUCUGUCCCUACACAGUCUACUAGUCUAUCGACCUCAAACAAUACAAGUGCUAAUUGCUACAUGCAACUCGAUCUAUGACAACAAAUUGAUUCUGUUUGGAGACUUGUCAACCAUAAUUUGACCUAGCUUCCGGCAUGUUGUAAAACAUGGAUUGGACCCUGGACUGGACUGGACUUGUAAAACAAGGACUUGUAAAACAUGGACUUGUAAAACAUGGACUUGUAAAACAUGGACUUGUAAAACAUGGACUUGUAAAACAUGGACUUGUAAAACAUGGACUUGUAAAACAUGAACUUGUAAAACAUGG